Molecule: ribosomal RNA, 476 nt
Filed under: uncultured bacterium
Lineage: Bacteria
Description: partial 16S ribosomal RNA
Rfam family: Bacterial small subunit ribosomal RNA
Source: RNAcentral
GAUGAACGCUGGCGGCGUGCUUAACACAUGCAAGUCGAGCGAGUGAGUUCUUCGGAACGAUCUAGCGGCGGACGGGUGAGUAACACGUGGGCAACCUGCCUCAUAGAGGGGAAUAGCCUCCCGAAAGGGAGAUUAAUACCGCAUAACAUCGUUGAAGGGCAUCCUUCGAUGAUCAAAGGAGCAAUCCGCUAUGAGAUGGGCCCGCGGCGCAUUAGCUAGUUGGUGAGGUAACGGCUCACCAAGGCGACGAUGCGUAGCCGACCUGAGAGGGUGAUCGGCCACAUUGGGACUGAGACACGGCCCAGACUCCUACGGGAGGCAGCAGUGGGGAAUAUUGCACAAUGGGGGAAACCCUGAUGCAGCAACGCCGCGUGAGUGAUGACGGUCUUCGGAUUGUAAAGCUCUGUCUUUGGGGACGAUAAUGACGGUACCCAAGGAGGAAGUCACGGCUAACUACGUGCCAGCCGCCGCGGUAA